CUUGACUGUAUCCUGGAAUUGGGUUCGGACUUUACUUGCGCAGUAUAGGUGGGAGGCGUUGAAAAUUUUCUUGCGGGAAGAUUGGAGCCAUCAGUGAGAUACCACUCUUGUAAUGUUAGAUUUCUAACUUUGGAUCAUGAUCUGGUCAAAGGACAGUUUCAGGCGGGCAGUUUGACUGGGGCGGUCGCCUCCCAAACGGUAACGGAGGCGUACAAAGGUUUCCUCUGAACGGGUAGAAAUCGUAUCUAGAGUGUAAAGGCAUAAGGAAGCUUGACUGUGAGACCUACAAGUCGAGCAGGGACGAAAGUCGGUCUUAGUGAUCUGACGGUGCUGAGUGGAAAGGCCGUCACUCAACGGAUAAAAGUUA
RNAcentral lists this ribosomal RNA (367 nucleotides) under uncultured organism. Its description in RNAcentral is "bacterial LSU rRNA". It matches the Rfam family "Bacterial large subunit ribosomal RNA", at positions 2099 to 2465 of the family's 2925-position model. The record is from RNAcentral.